UGAGGAAUAUUGGUCAAUGGACGAGAGUCUGAACCAGCCAAGCCGCGUGAGGGAUGAAGGUGCUAAGCAUUGUAAACCUCUUUUGUCAGGGAACAAAGGCAUCCACGAGUGGAUGUGUGAGUGUACCUGAAGAAAAAGCAUCGGCUAACUCCGUGCCAGCAGCCGCGGUAAUACGGAGGAUGCGAGCGUUAUCCGGAUUUAUUGGGUUUAAAGGGUGCGUAGGCGGCCUGUUAAGUCAGCGGUAAAAGCCCGGGGCUCAACCCCGGCGAGCCGUUGAAACUGGCUGGCUGGAGUUGGCGAGAGGUAUGCGGAAUGCGCGGUGUAGCGGUGAAAUGCUUAGAUAUCGCGCAGAACUCCGAUUGCGAAGGCAGCAUGCCGGCGCCACACUGACGCUGAGGCACGAAAGCGUGGGGAUCAAACAGGAUUAGAUACC
This 433-nucleotide ribosomal RNA is filed under the name uncultured bacterium. RNAcentral describes it as "bacterial SSU rRNA". It matches the Rfam family "Bacterial small subunit ribosomal RNA", at positions 355 to 786 of the family's 1533-position model. The record is from RNAcentral.